This 171-nucleotide unclassified non-coding RNA is filed under the name uncultured Hypocreales. RNAcentral's name for it is "sequence contains ITS2". Lineage: Eukaryota; Fungi; Ascomycota; Sordariomycetes; Hypocreales. The record is from RNAcentral.
CAACCCUCGAGAACCCCUUUAUGGGGGGAUCGGUGUUGGGGCUCGACCGUCCCCCGUGGCGGUCGUCCCCUAAACUCAUUGGCGGUCUCGCUGUAGCCUCCUCUGCGCAGUAACUUACAUUCUCGCAGGCGGAGAGCGGCGCGGCCACGCCGUAAAACCCCAACUUUCUAA